RNAcentral lists this transfer RNA (73 nucleotides) under Paenibacillus yonginensis. It matches the Rfam family "tRNA". From Rfam's summary of the family: Transfer RNA (tRNA) molecules are approximately 80 nucleotides in length. Their secondary structure includes four short double-helical elements and three loops (D, anti-codon, and T loops). The record is from Rfam by way of RNAcentral. Lineage: Bacteria; Bacillati; Bacillota; Bacilli; Caryophanales; Paenibacillaceae.
GCUGGUGUAGCUCAGUUGGUAGAGCAACGCACUCGUAACGCGUAGGUCGGGGGUUCGAGCCCCUUCACCAGCA